GGGUUGUGAGGUUAAGCGACUAAGCGUACACGGUGGAUGCCCUGGCAGUCAGAGGCGAUGAAGGACGUGCUAAUCUGCGAAAAGCGUCGGUAAGGUGAUAUGAACCGUUAUAACCGGCGAUGUCCGAAUGGGGAAACCCAGUGUGAUUCGUCACACUAUCGUUAACUGAAUACAUAGGUUAACGAGGCGAACCGGGGGAACUGAAACAUCUAAGUACCCCGAGGAAAAGAAAUCAACCGAGAUUCCCCCAGUAGCGGCGAGCGAACGGGGAGCAGCCCAGAGUCUGAAUCAGCUUGUGUGUUAGUGGAACGGUCUGGAAAGUCCGACGGUACAGGGUGAUAGUCCCGUACACCAAAAUGCACAGGUUGUGAACUCGAAGAGUAGGGCGGGACACGUGGUAUCCUGUCUGAAUAUGGGGGGACCAUCCUCCAAGGCUAAAUACUCCUGACUGACCGAUAGUGAACCAGUACCGUGAGGGAAAGGCGAAAAGAACCCCGGCGAGGGGAGUGAAAAAGAACCUGAAACCGUGUACGUACAAGCAGUGGGAGCACCUUCGGGUGUGACUGCGUACCUUUUGUAUAAUGGGUCAGCGACUUAUAUUCUGUAGCAAGGUUAACCGUAUAGGGGAGCCGCAGGGAAACCGAGUCUUAACUGGGCGUUAAGUUGCAGGGUAUAGACCCGAAACCCGGUGAUCUAGCCAUGGGCAGGUUGAAGGUUGGGUAACACUAACUGGAGGACCGAACCGACUAAUGUUGAAAAAUUAGCGGAUGACUUGUGGCUGGGGGUGAAAGGCCAAUCAAACCGGGAGAUAGCUGGUUCUCCCCGAAAGCUAUUUAGGUAGCGCCUCGUGAAUUCAUCUUCGGGGGUAGAGCACUGUUUCGGCUAGGGGGUCAUCCCGACUUACCAACCCGAUGCAAACUACGAAUACCGAAGAAUGUUAUCACGGGAGACACACGGCGGGUGCUAACGUCCGUCGUGAAGAGGGAAACAACCCAGACCGCCAGCUAAGGUCCCAAAGUCAUGGUUAAGUGGGAAACGAUGUGGGAAGGCACAGACAGCCAGGAUGUUGGCUUAGAAGCAGCCAUCAUUUAAAGAAAGCGUAAUAGCUCACUGGUCGAGUCGGCCUGCGCGGAAGAUGUAACGGGGCUAAACCAUGCACCGAAGCUGCGGCAGCGACACUAUGUGUUGUUGGGUAGGGGAGCGUUCUGUAAGCCUGCGAAGGUGACCUGUGAGGGUUGCUGGAGGUAUCAGAAGUGCGAAUGCUGACAUAAGUAACGAUAAAGCGGGUGAAAAGCCCGCUCGCCGGAAGACCAAGGGUUCCUGUCCAACGUUAAUCGGGGCAGGGUGAGUCGACCCCUAAGGCGAGGCCGAAAGGCGUAGUCGAUGGGAAACAGGUUAAUAUUCCUGUACUUGGUGUUACUGCGAAGGGGGGACGGAGAAGGCUAUGUUAGCCGGGCGACGGUUGUCCCGGUUUAAGCAUGUAGGCUGAUUGUCCAGGCAAAUCCGGAUAAUCAAGGCUGAGGUGUGAUGACGAGGCACUACGGUGCUGAAGUAACAAAUGCCCUGCUUCCAGGAAAAGCCUCUAAGCAUCAGGUAACAUUAAAUCGUACCCCAAACCGACACAGGUGGUCAGGUAGAGAAUACCAAGGCGCUUGAGAGAACUCGGGUGAAGGAACUAGGCAAAAUGGUGCCGUAACUUCGGGAGAAGGCACGCUGGUGUGUAGGUGAAGUCCCUGCGGAUGGAGCUGAGACCAGUCGAAGAUACCAGCUGGCUGCAACUGUUUAUUAAAAACACAGCACUGUGCAAACACGAAAGUGGACGUAUACGGUGUGACGCCUGCCCGGUGCCGGAAGGUUAAUUGAUGGGGUUAUCCGUAAGGAGAAGCUCUUGAUCGAAGCCCCGGUAAACGGCGGCCGUAACUAUAACGGUCCUAAGGUAGCGAAAUUCCUUGUCGGGUAAGUUCCGACCUGCACGAAUGGCGUAAUGAUGGCCAGGCUGUCUCCACCCGAGACUCAGUGAAAUUGAACUCGCUGUGAAGAUGCAGUGUACCCGCGGCAAGACGGAAAGACCCCGUGAACCUUUACUAUAGCUUGACACUGAACAUUGAGCCUUGAUGUGUAGGAUAGGUGGGAGGCUUUGAAGCGUGGACGCCAGUCUGCGUGGAGCCAACCUUGAAAUACCACCCUUUAAUGUUUGAUGUUCUAACGUUGGCCCCUGACCGGGGUUGCGGACAGUGUCUGGUGGGUAGUUUGACUGGGGCGGUCUCCUCCCAAAGCGUAACGGAGGAGCACGAAGGUUAGCUAAUCCUGGUCGGACAUCAGGAGGUUAGUGCAAUGGCAUAAGCUAGCUUGACUGCGAGCGUGACGGCGCGAGCAGGUGCGAAAGCAGGUCAUAGUGAUCCGGUGGUUCUGAAUGGAAGGGCCAUCGCUCAACGGAUAAAAGGUACUCCGGGGAUAACAGGCUGAUACCGCCCAAGAGUUCAUAUCGACGGCGGUGUUUGGCACCUCGAUGUCGGCUCAUCACAUCCUGGGGCUGAAGUAGGUCCCAAGGGUAUGGCUGUUCGCCAUUUAAAGUGGUACGCGAGCUGGGUUUAGAACGUCGUGAGACAGUUCGGUCCCUAUCUGCCGUGGGCGCUGGAGAAUUGAGGGGGGCUGCUCCUAGUACGAGAGGACCGGAGUGGACGCAUCACUGGUGUUCGGGUUGUCAUGCCAAUGGCACUGCCCGGUAGCUAAAUGCGGAAGAGAUAAGUGCUGAAAGCAUCUAAGCACGAAACUUGCCCCGAGAUGAGUUCUCCCUGAGACUUUAAGUCUCCUGAAGGAACGUUGAAGACGACGACGUUGAUAGGCCGGGUGUGUAAGCGCAGCGAUGCGUUGAGCUAACCGGUACUAAUGAACCGUGAGGCUUAACCUUACAACGCCGAAG
Molecule: ribosomal RNA, 2923 nt
Filed under: Klebsiella pneumoniae
Lineage: Bacteria; Pseudomonadati; Pseudomonadota; Gammaproteobacteria; Enterobacterales; Enterobacteriaceae
Description: 23S ribosomal RNA
Rfam family: Bacterial large subunit ribosomal RNA
Source: RNAcentral